CMWGWWWGUASCUUUCMGAGAUGGAUUGGUGCCUUCGGGAACUCUGAGACAGGUGCUGCAUGGCUGUCGUCAGCUGUGAGKGAAAUGUUGGGUUAAGUCCCGCAACGAGCGCAACCCUUAUCCUUUGUUGCCAGCGGUUAGGCCGGGAACUCAAAGGAGACUGCCAGUGAUAAACUGGAGGAAGGUGGGGAUGACGUCAAGUCAUCAUGGCCCUUACGAGUAGGGCUACACACGUGCUACAAUGGCGCAUACAAAGAGAAGCGACCUCGCGAGAGCAAGCGGACCUCAUAAAGUGCGUCGUAGUCCGGAUUGGAGUCUGCAACUCGACUCCAUGAAGUCGGAAUCGCUAGUAAUCGUAGAUCAGAAUGCUACGGUGAAUACGUUCCCGGGUCUUGUACACACCGA
Molecule: ribosomal RNA, 405 nt
Filed under: Enterobacter sp. 57(2012)
Lineage: Bacteria; Pseudomonadati; Pseudomonadota; Gammaproteobacteria; Enterobacterales; Enterobacteriaceae
Description: bacterial SSU rRNA
Rfam family: Bacterial small subunit ribosomal RNA
Source: RNAcentral